UUCCGUAGGUGGACCUGCGGAAGGAUCAUUA
RNAcentral lists this non-coding RNA (31 nucleotides) under Xenopus tropicalis (tropical clawed frog). RNAcentral also lists the same sequence under 2 other names. Lineage: Eukaryota; Metazoa; Chordata; Amphibia; Anura; Pipidae. The record is from RNAcentral.